GCAAGUUUGAGGCUUUUUCUGUUUG
This 25-nucleotide non-coding RNA is filed under the name Mus musculus (house mouse). Lineage: Eukaryota; Metazoa; Chordata; Mammalia; Rodentia; Muridae. The record is from RNAcentral.